UACGAAGGGGGCUAGCGUUGCUCGGAAUUACUGGGCGUAAAGCGCGCGUAGGUGGCCAUUUAAGUCCGCUGUGAAAGUCAAAGGCUCAACCUUUGAAAGCCGGUGGAUACUGGAUGGCUAGAGUACGGAAGAGGCGAGUGGAAUUCCUGGUGUAGCGGUGGAAUGCGCAGAUAUCAGGAGGAACACCAAUAGCGAAGGCAGCUCGCUGGGACGUUACUGACACUGAGGCGCGAAAGCGUGGGGAGCGAACAGG
This 253-nucleotide ribosomal RNA is filed under the name uncultured bacterium. RNAcentral's name for it is "partial 16S ribosomal RNA". It matches the Rfam family "Bacterial small subunit ribosomal RNA", at positions 524 to 776 of the family's 1533-position model. The record is from RNAcentral.